Molecule: long non-coding RNA, 27033 nt
Filed under: Physcomitrium patens
Lineage: Eukaryota; Viridiplantae; Streptophyta; Bryopsida; Funariales; Funariaceae
Description: long non-coding RNA (PPAT_LNC012553)
Source: RNAcentral
AAAAUAAAAGUAAAAAUAACAAAUAACAAAAGAAUUUGUGCUUAUAAUAUCUAAAAGUUAUUAAAAUAGUGUUUCUAAGCACUUUGUAUUAGGAUUAAGCUUUUACAUUGAAAUCCAAAAUAGUUUGUAUUUAGAUGGUUGAAACCCACUGGACUACUUGGAUACUUACAAAACAUUGUUUUAUUUUCCACAGUUAGACGCUCGGUGCAUUUUCAAGCUAGAUAGCACGUAAUAUGACAGCGUUUCAAACAAAGUAUGGACAUUUCGAAUAUAACGUCAUGCCUUUUAGACUUACAAAUGCAUUAGCAAUAUUCCAACAUCUAAUGAAUGAUGUCUUUUGGGAAUUUUUAGAUGAUUUUGUUGUCUGUUACCUAGACGACAUUUUAAUCUAUUCUAAGAAUAUAGAAGAACAUGAACUUCAUGUUUGUCAUGUAUCACAAAAACUAAGAGAUGCGGGACUCUAUGCCAAGAUAGAAAAGUGUACAUUUCACACUACUUAAGUCAACUUCUUAGGAUACAUCAUUUCAAAUGAUGGACUUAUGAUCGAUCCUAAGAAAGUUCAAACUAUUAUGGAUUGGAAGAUUCCAAAAAUGGUAAGAGAUGUCCAAUGCUUUUUGGAAUUUGUCAACUACUAUCGGAUCUUCAUCAAAGACUUCUUUCAAAUUGUAGCUCCACUUACACGUUUGACUUGCAAAGACAAACUUCAAUGGAAUCAAGAAGCAGAAGUAGCAUUUGAAGCUUUGAAGACAGCCUUUGUUUCUGUACCAAUGUUAUAUUGCGUCAAUUUUUCUAAGCCAUUUUUUAUGGAAAUAGACACAUCAAACUUUACUUUGGGUGCCAUAUUGUCACAAAUGGGAACAAAUGAUAAACUUCAUCAAAUAGCUUUUCAUUUGAGAAAUUUUUUUGUAACCGAGAUCAACUAUGAGAUCCAUGACAAAGAACUUCUUACAAUCAUGGAUUUGUUUCAAGAAUGGUGCCAUUAUCUAAAAGGUGCUUCUAGCCCAAUCAUAGUAUAUAGGAAUCAUAAGAACCUUGUAUAUUUUAUGUCAACACGUGUUUUAAAUUUUUGCCAAGUCCAUUGGAGUAUGUCUUUGUCAAGAUUUGAAUUCAAGAUCACUUAUUGACCAAAAAAAUAACAAUGUUUGUCAAAUGCAAUCUCUAAGCAAUCUUAUCUUAUACCAAAAGAAGGAGAUGCUACUUUCAAUCAACAAUGGAUAAUUAUCUUGAAGCCAGAGCAUUUUCAUCUUCGAGCAAUGAAAUCAACUCUAACUGUUGAUUCAACUUUUAUUAAGCAAGUUCAGUCAAGUAUGUCUUCUGAUCCUCUUAUUUGUGAUAUUAAGAGAAAUCCUUCAAAGUCUCAUAAUACUUUCAAGUUUGAAUUCAAGAAGAAUCUACUAUAUUUUGAGAGAUGCCUAUAUGUUCCAAAAGGUGAAGAUCGAUUAUGUAUUCUUCAUGUUCGUCAUGACUUUCUAGCUACAGGAUAUUUUGGGUACAAUAAAACUUUGGAACUAAUAUCCAAGGACUUUUGUUGGCCCCAACUGUGAAAAGCAGUCAAAGAUUUUAUACAAUCUUGUGAUGUUUGCACGAGAUCAAAAAUUCCUCAUCAUCGACUUAAUGGACUUCUUCAGCCAUUACCCAUUCCAAAACAACCAUGGUCUUCUAUUUCUAUGGAUUUCAUUACGAAUCUUUCAAUCUCAGGUUCUUAUGACUCUAUAUUCAUGAUAGUAGAUCAUUUUACCAAGAUGGCAUAUUUUGUACUAUGUACAAAAUCUAUCACAAGUGAAGAAAUAGCUAAGGUUUUUCUUGAUAAUAUCUAUCGCUAUCAUGGAUUAUUCAAAGAUAUUAUAUUAUAUAGGAGAACUCAAUUUGUAUCAAGAUUUUGGCAAACUCUUUUUAAGAUUCUAAAAGUGGAUAUAAAACUAUCUUCGAUAUUCCAUCCUCAAACUGAUGGACAAACGGAGCGUAUUAAUCAAAUUUUGGAGCAGUAUUUAAGAUGUACCAUUAACUACCAACAAGAUGAUUGGAUAAAUCUUUUGCCAUUAGCAGAGUUUGCUUAUAAUAACACGAUACAUUCUUCUACAAAACAAACACCUUUCUUUGCCAAUUAUGGUUAUCAUCUACGACUUGAUACUUUUUACUUUUCAAAAGUUGAUAAUCCUGUUGUGAAAGAUUUGACAAUUCAUUUGUCAGAGCUACAUACAACAAUGAAGGCAUAGUUAAAAGAAGCUCAAGAAUAACAAAAGAUCAAUGCGAAUGUCUAUCAAAAGGAACAACCACCAUUCUACAUAGGUAAUAAGAUAUGGUUACUUCAUCGCAAUAUCAAGACUACUCGUCUUUGUGAUAAGUUGGACUAUCAAAGGCUUGGACUAUUUUUUAUUUUUGCACAAAUCAAUCCAGUUGCAUAUUGUUUAUACCUACUGGAGUCAAUGUGAUUUGGAGUUUUUAUAAAAGAAAUAUAGGUACUCAAAAUUAAGUGGUUGGUUUUAUACCUACUGUCCCUCUUUUGAAUAUUAUGCAUGCAUACAAGAAGCAAUGAAGGAUCAACGACUAGAGUUGAAAAGAGCACUUUUUUAUUUUACUUUUUACAUACUACUUAAAGAAUUUUAAGCUAGAAUGAAGGAGAUAUAAGAAGUUGAAGUCAACACUUGCAAUUUAAGGAUACUAAGUGACCUAAUUUACUAGUGGUUGUAUUUUGAAUUAUAUCUUAGAUAAUUUGAUAAGAUUUUGGCUAAUAUUUUUUAAAAAAAUAUAUAUUAUCAUGUUAAUAAACUUUAUAUAUAAAUUUUAUAGCAAUUAGAGUUUGGAUUUUUGAGAUAUAGAGAAAAUAGUAUUUAGGUGCUUAUAUAUUAGGAUUUAAAUCACCUACUAGGAUUUCUAAGAUACUAGAUGAUUUAUAGUAGAUUUUUAGUUUAUUUCUUUUUAUAAAAAAGCUUAAGAAUAAAUUCUAUAUUAUCUAGAAAUUUGAAAAAAACUAAACAGUUGAAUCAAGAAGUAUGAAUUUCUAAAGUUCAAAAAGAAAAAAAAAAAUCCUUUGUGAGAGAUAAAUAUAUUGAAAGGAUUUUGCUAUAAUUUGGAUAUUUUAUGUAAAGUAAAGGGGUUUUUGGGAGCCAAGACUUUAUAUAUAUGUUAAAGAUAGAGAUAUAUAGCCAUAGCAAAAUUAUGAUAUAGAGAUGGAUAUUUAUAAGAAAAUUAUGAAUUUUCUCUAAGCUUAUGGGAAAUCAAACUUACUGGCAAAUAGUUAGUUAUGAUUUGAUAUAACAAAGGAUGUUAGGAUAUUUCUAAAUGCUUUAGAAAGCCUUAUGUAUAAAGCUUCUUAAAUAUAAAAGAAUCUUAUUAAUAAAAUAUCUUUUGAUACUAUUGUAUUUUUUUGGCCUCUAUAAUGAGAAUACAUUACUUAUUGGAAUUUGUCUAAUAAGUUAAAGCUAAACUUCCUACAACUAAGUAUCCAAUGUAUUUCCAAAUAGAAAAUUAUGCCUUACAACAAUAGAUUCAAUGAUACAUGUUAGAUUUUCUUUGAUUCAAGCUUUAAGAUUGAUUCUCUACAUGAAUUCCAAUUUUGAUUCACUAUUUUUAUAAAACCAAUAAUACAUGCAAGCAAGCAACAAGCUGUUUUGUCUCCUAUUGUUUAUCUUGUGUAUUUUUCUCCUCUAAGCUAUUUUAUAUAAUAGAUAUUUAAAAAUUAAAAAAAAUUCAAAUAAUAUUUCAAAUUUUUUUAAAACAAUACACAUUCUAUAAUAAAUAAUUAAACACUAAGAAAAUAAAAAAUAAUUAUAGGUUAAAAUUUUUAAUUUAAAAGAAUAUAUUUUAAUAUUUAAAAGUAUAGAAUGACAUUAAGAUAAAAUAAUUAUGAUGUGUAGUAAGUAGCAAAUAAUACCUAUCAUUUAUAUCUAUUCUAAUUUAUAUAGCUAUUAAAAUCUAAUUUUUUACUAUUAAAGAAGUAAAAAAAAUAAAACAAAAAAAUACAAAAUAAUUAGAUAUAUAUGAAUAUAAUUAUUUUAAAUUUUAAUAAUAUAUAUAUAUAUAGAGAGAGAGAGAAAGAAUGAGAGAGAAAAAUGUUAUUCUAUAUGAAUAAUCAUAUUUAGCAUUUAGUUUAGAAUAAAAUAAAAUAAUUACUAUUUUUAAGUUAUAAUAUUUAAUUAAUAAAAUAAAACUUAAAUAAAUACUUUAAUUAAAGUGGUUUUAAAAAAUAUUAUGGCAAUUCUAAUCUCACUAAGAAAAUUUAUUAAGUAUCAAGCAUUAAAUAAAAUUUAUUCUACAAUUUAUAUAUAUAUAUAUAUAUAUAUAUAUAUAUAUAUAUAUAUUAUUUUUUAUUUUUUAUAUUUUUAUGCAAAAAUAAAAGAUAUCUAAUGUAUUAAUGAAGUAAUAAAAGUACAUUAGACUACUUAACUUUUAAUACUUAGAGGGCAAAGCUAAGAAUACUAAAAAGAAGGGAUAGCUAUUAAAGUUAAUUUAUUUAUACUUUUAUGUAGGAUCACAUCACACUAAAGUAUUCUAAAAUAUCAUUAAAGGACUUUAUUAUAUCUAGAACCUGAUAUGUGAUUUGCCAUCUAUAAUUUAUUUUAUCUCUUUAGCAAGAUAGUUUUAUAUUUCAGGUAUUCAAUUAGUAUCUUUUUGAUAAAUAUCUGAUAGAUUUGACCAUAUUCAAACAAAAUUUUCUAAAGAAGGCUUCUAUUAUGGAAUUUACUCUAUAGUUCAUUUUAAAAAAUAAAUUUAUUUUUUCAAAUCUAUAUAGCUAAUAGACAAAUUCUUUUUAACAAAGACUAGAUCUUACAAAAGUAUUUGAAUUUAGAGAAUAAAGUUUCAAAACAAAAGGCUUAUUUUAAAGUGAAAGAUUAUCAAUGAUUUUAUAUUUUAGAUUUUAACAUCAAUUUAAUUAAAGAAAGAUUGACCAAUCUCAAAUUUUAUAAGCUUCAUGAAAAUUCUAAAAUAUAUAGAAAAUAGAUUCCAAAUUUUAAAAAUGGCACAAAGCACAUUGAAUAUCAAUAUCAGGAUUGAUUUAUACAUAGAAUAAAUUAUAAGAAUAAUUAUUUUUUCUAAUUUACAUGCAUAUAUAAUUUACUUUUAUUCUUUAAAAAUAAAAAAUUAUUAUAAAAUUAAGAAAGAAUUCUUCAAAUCAUAAACAAAAUUUUGAUAAAUGGAUAGAUAAAACAUAUCUAAGGUAAAAAAUUAAGAUUGGAUAUAUUUACAAGACUAAUAUAAUAUAAUAAUAGUUUAUAAAUUUUUUCUAUUAUUAAAUAGUAUAUCUAUUUUAGAAAUGUAUCAUCUAUAAAUAUAAAAUGAAAUAACUUGAUUAUUUACAACUAAUAAGAUAUACCUUUUUAUGAAAUAUAAUAAAAUAAAAAAUUAUUAUAUCAACAAAAAAUCCAAAAUUAUAAAUAUUAAAAGUAUUAUAUAAAAUUAAAAUUUUUAAAUUUUCUACUUUUAAAAAUACACAUACACACACACACACACACAAAUAUAUAUAUAUAUAUAUAUAUAUAUAUAUAUAUAUAUAUAUUGACUUCUAUCAAAUAUCUCAUAUAUCUAUAUCAAAAGUUAAAUAAAAGAAAGUUGGUUUUUUAUAUAAUGUUCAUUAUAUAGUUUUAUUUUGAUACAUGAGUUUUGUAAGUAUGAUGUGUUAUAUAUAUUCAUGUUGUUUUAAAUAUUUAUUAUUUUUUUCUACUUCUAUUAAAGUUUUAUAUUUUAGGUUUGAUGAUCUUAUCAAAUUUUAGUUUUUUUUUGCAUUUAAUAUGUUUCUUUAAAAAUCCUCUUUUUAAGUUUAAUAUUUAGGAGUUACUUAUUUUUUCUUCUAAUUAUUAGAAUCAAUUCUACAUUAUGAUUAGCAAUUAAAGGUAAUAAAAUGAGGUGCAAUUGAAGGUAAAAGUAUGAACUUGUAUAUAAACAAGGAUUCAAUUACUAAAAGAAAUUCAAUCUAUCUUUUAAAUGUUUAAAAUUUAAAAUCAUCUUUAUUCAUUUUCACUUUGAGAUAUGUCAAAAUCUUGGAUCUUCCUAGGCUAGCAUUAAUUAGUUGGUGAUAUUGGAUGAACUACCAUUGAUAGUGCCUAAAACUUUUUAUUUUAAUCUCUAGCAAUAGAUUCAUUCAUUACUUAAAUAAAUAAAAUUAAAUAGAAGAAAAUAAAAAUAUAUUAAAUAGAUGAUAUUUUCUAGAAGAAGUUUUAAGUAUUUUUUUAGAAAGAAUUAAAUAUUUAGACUUUUAUAGAUAUAUUAUAUGGUUAUUUCAACUUAUCCUAUAAGUUUUUUACUUUUAGAGAAUUAUAUUAGAAGCAAUUUAUUACUUGAUUCUUAAUACAAAAGCCUUGUAGUUUCUAGAAAGCUUCUAUAAGACCUUUUUAAUAGCAAAUAUAUAUGGAGACAAAAUUAAGAUCAUCAUUAAUGUUAUCAAUAUUUUUCUUAUAUUCUAGUCCUAAUUCAAGUUUAUCUAUAUUCUUAUUAAUUAAUAAUAUUUAUUUUAUUUUUUUUCAUACAUAUUUGUUAAAUUUCUAUUUUUUUAAUAAAAUAAGAGUGUAGUCUUUUAUAUUUUAUUUUAAUUUUUAUGUUUGAUAUCUCUUGAAUAACUUCAUUCUUUCACUUUUUAUUACAUGUCUUUUGCUUACUUCUUAUUUUUCCUCAUCUUCUUACCUUUUGAUGUAUGUUGUCUUAUCACUUUUAAGUUCAUCUUAUAUUUUUGUAUGAUUAGAAAGAAAGAAUUUAUAAUUAUUCAAAGAAUCUCUACUUUGGUAUAAUAUUAAAAACUUUUAGUAAAAUAAUUCUUUCAUUACAUGAGAUCAUGGAUGUAAUUUUUUAAUACAUAUUAUAAUGAUCAAAAAAAUAUUUAAUUUUUUACAUGAGUACAAUUAAAUUUUUUUCAUAUAAUUUAUAAUUUAUUCAUAAGAGAAUACUUCUCUUAUAUAAUGUUUAUGUAAUCUAGUCUAAUACAUACUAAGAAAUAUUUUAAUCUUUUUUUUAAUAAUCAUCUUAAGUCAUUAUUAAGGAUAAGAACUUGAUGAAGGCAAAUAAAAAAGUCAAAUUUUUCUCAAAGAAAGAUAAAUAUAUAUAUAUAUAUAUAUAUAUAUAUAUAUGUGUGUCUUCAAAAAAUAAUAAUAAUAGCUAUUUCUUAAAAACAAUUGACAUACUUUGAUCUUUGUUCUUUUUGAAGAUAGUUCAUAGGACUUUUCAACCAUUGAAGAUGUCUCAUUCCAAGGUAAGAAGAUCAUCCUGAUAUUUAAUUAUUAUUAAAGGCUUUGUAACUUCUUUCAAAGAAAAUAUUUCUAACACCAUCAAGGGUCAUUUUUACCUCUAAUAAAAUCACCAAAUAUCAAGAGUCUCUUCUGAGGUUGUAAUAUUAGAUGCAUUAUAUCUUAUCAUCUAUUUGAAGAAGAACAUGUCAUUCUUGAAGGUCUUUAUUUCUAUCACAUAGUUUUGAAGGCUAUAACAAUUACAAUGCCUUGUCCAAUAAAUUAGCAAACAAUAGCUUUUAAAUUGAAUCUACUUAUAGUUGGUUUUUCAUCUUAUUAGUACUACUAAUACAAAGAAAUUACAAUAAAAGAUAGAAGAUAAAAUUCAAACUUUAUUGAACAUCCUUUCUUUAAUAGUUAAGAUUUUUUUGACUCUUCAUCUUGGUUUUGAUGGAUGUUAUUGAUGAAAAACUUUGAUUUUUUUUGUUGCAUUUGCAAGAUUCUUUAGUGGCUCUUAUAUGUAUUCAUUAAUAUUAUAUCCAUGCCGAUGAAAAAGAUAUUUCAACUUAAGUUGAUAUUGCCUAGAGCCUAAAACUUCAUUUAUCUCAAACUCUUGAUUAUUACUUACUUCUAUAAGAAAUAUUAGGACUUAACUUCUUCCUCAGAUAUUCAUUGUUUUAUAUGGUUCAAGAAUAGAUACAUGAAAUAUAAGAUGAAUCUUCAUAGACUUUGAUAGAUAUAAUCAAUAACCAAUUGGAUUGAUUUAUUCAUAAAUAAAAAAGUUCAAAUUUAUAAUAAUCCAAAUUAUUAUAAUAAAAAAUAGUCUUGAUAUUAUGACAAAGUAAUCAUAUUUUAUUAUCAACAUAGAAUUGAUGUUAUUUCUUAGAAUAGGCAUUUGAAUUGGUCUUAUGUUGAUAUUGAGUUUUUUUCAAAAAAAUUUAUCUUCAUUGUUGUAUAUAGCUCAAAUGAAUCAUUUGUUAAAUCUUCUACUAUAGGAUUAUCAACUUUUGAAAAUUUAAAAGUAUCAAAUUGUAGAUAAUAAUCAUAAUUAAUAUUAAAAGGUGUUUAUUGAGUUAAAAAAUGUACCAUGUUAUCAUAAAUAAAUUCUACUAAUAUUAAAAGAAUUACUAAUUAUCUUGUUCAUAGUUGAUGGUGCGUUUCAAAUAUUGCUCUAAAAUUUGAUUUACGUGCUUUGUUUGUCUAUCAAUUUAGAGAUAGAAAACCAAAAAUAAUUUUAUAUCUAUCUUUAGAAUAAUGGAAAGUAUUUUCUAAAACCUUAAGACAAAUUAAAUCUCUCUAUUCAAUAUAAUAUUUCUUAAUAAUCUAUGAUAGCUAUUAAUGUUAUCAAAAAAAGAUUUAAAUGUUUCUUUACUUAUGAUAGAUUUUUUACAUGGUAUAAAAUAUGCCAUUUUGAUAAAUUAAUCUACUAUCUUAAAUAUAUAAUCAUAAGAAUCUAACAUUCAAAGAUCUAUGAUAAAAUCUAUAAAAAUAAAAGAUGAUGAUUUUUUUAGAAUAAGUAAUGAUUGAAAGAGUCCAUGUAAUUGAUAAUGAGAAAUUUUUUAUAUUUAACAAAUAUUACAUGAUUGUGCAAAGUCUUUGACUACCCUUCACAUUUGAAGCUACCAAAAAUCUCUUAAUAUUAGCUCCAAAAUCUUAUUGUAUCCAAAAUAUCAUAUUAUUUGAAAUUUGUAAGGAACUUAAAGGAUAUAUAAUUAUAUUUCAUCUUCUAGAAAUAUAAGUACCUUUUAAAAUAAAAUAGAUUAUUUUUAAAUUUAAACUUAAAAGUAUUAUGAGAUUUUGAAGAAUUUUUCUUAAUAUAACAAAUAAGAAGAUCAAAGGACAUACAUAACUAAACUUGCUUAAAAAAAAAUUACUAAAAGAUAAAAAAGAUAAAGAGGGUCAUUUUUUAUUGAACAAAAGGUGCAUUUCUUUCUUUUGGUGUAAGAUAAGAUCAUCUAAAAUGGGCAUCAAACAAACCUUAUUAUUUUCUUGAUCAAUAAAUAAUCUUGAAUUUGUAUCUUAACAAGAACAUACUCCUACAAGUUUGGUGACAAUUCAAAAUAUGUCCUAACAUGAAAUAUUUAAGAUUCUUAUGAUUUAUAUAUACAAUAACUAGAUUAGAAGUACCUUCUAUUUAAUGAUGCUAUUCUUAAAAUAAUUCUACAAUUGUAAGAAGUUUUUUAUUGUGGAUCUUGUAGUUGAUCUCGAUUGAUUAAAAUAUUCUUGAAUGAAAAGAAAUAUAAUAAAGAUUAUCAUUUGCUCCUAGUUCUGACAAUAUAACAUUUAAAGCAAAGUCUAAUUCAUUUGUUUCUAUAAAAAAUAUCAUGAAAAAGUCAAUAUAAUAUAAGAUUGCUUACUUUGAAGAAAUUUACACAUGGAUAUAUAUAAGCAAGGAUUUAAAACUAUUAUUAGUAUUUUAGCAAUAUCUCAAGAUCCAUAAUGAAUUUACACUUGAAUUUUUUUAUGGUAGUUGUUAAAAGUACAUUAGUACUUCAUAUAAAAUUUUGAUUUGUUUAGACAGUUUGAUCAUGAGAUAUGAGUUGUUGAAGUUCAAGAAGAAUUCACCUUAAGAGUAUAUAAGGUUUUAUAAUACUUUUAUUAUAUUUUUAGUCACCUUUGAUACUUAGGACUUAUGUAUUGAUGUAAUUGCCUAUAUAGGAACAAUUUUAUAUAUAAACUUGGUAUUUUUUUUAUUUUUUUUAUUUUUUUUUUAUAUCUUCAGGCUUGGUUGAACAAUUAAUGAUAGCCAAUUGUCCAAUGGUUUUUGAAGGCAAAUGUUUAUCUUGACAUAUUCGUGCUUCUAUUAAGAGUGCUUUAAGGUACUAAUUUCUUAACAAGUCAAGAUGGAAGAUACAAAGUAAGGAAGUUCAAAUGAUGGAGGUAAUUAAAAUCCUAUAGAUGAAUUUUUAAGGGCCAUAUAAAUAUUCAUAAACCAACAAGUUAUUAAAGCAACUUUGCAAGGAGCUACCAAAGCAUUGAAGGAUGUUAUUAAUAAAAUAGAGAGGUUUGAUGGAAAAAAUAUCACAAAGUUUUUGAAGGUCUAUACUUAAGAAAUAAAAAUUUAAUAAGUUCCAAAAGAUAGGAUGAUUGAAAUCUUUAAUUUAGUAAUCGUAUUAAAGAUCAAAGAAAGAGAGAAACAACUAUAUAGAAGUAUUGAUGUAAAAUCAUGGACUAGAUUUAAAGAGAGAUUGUGAGAUGAAUACUUUAAUGAAGAUAAUGAAAGAAUAACUAGGAGAAGUUUUUUUGAUGGAGUGGAGCAACAAACGUAAAUAUAUGGAAUCAAACAAGUUACUUAGGAAGUUUGAGAAGAAAUUUGGCCAAAUUCCAUUAUCUAAAAAGCACCUUCUAGACGUGAAGAAAUCAAAGUUAUUCCUACAAGCUGCAUAUGAGAUGUUAGAUGAUAGAUUUUUUCUCUUUUUCUAAGAUGGAACAACAAAAGGUGGUUUUAAUACUGAUUGGAGAAGGUUGAAUGAGACGAUGAAUCUCAUUGCUAAGCAAUAAUAUGUAAAGUCUAGAGGAUUUGGGACAAGGAUGGAAGCUAUACUAGUAUAAGAUAUGAAAUAUCCAACAACAACUCUGUCUACUCCUACUCCAUCAAACUUUUUCAAGAAUAAGAAUAUAGAUAAAAAAAUCCUUGAUGAACUAAUAAAAAGCAUGAAAAAAUUAAAGAUAGAAAUGAGUGCUUUGAAAAAAGACACAAGGUCAAGCACCUCAUGAUUGUGGAUUAUAUACAUAUACCAUGAAGAAUGAUAUUAUUAACUUCAAAAAAUACAAAAUCAGAGAUGCUACAACAAAUAAGCCUCUAGAGACUAAUUUUGGAAGAAGAGGCAUGAAAAAAUUGAUAGAAAAUAGAUUAGAGAGGAAAAAAUCUUCAUUUAAUAAGAAAGUAGAGACUUAUACCAUUGAGGCUAAAUACAUCAAGAUAGAAAUAUCUACACAAGUAUCUAAAGAAGUAAUGGUGAAGGAAGCUUAAGCUAUUAGAAGACUAACUAGAUGAGAUGAUUCAAUUGAUUCAACUACUAUAAGGGCCUAUUUGGUAAGUGUGCAUGGAGAGAAGAAAUCCUAUGAUGCAUCAAUAGAGAUUAAAAGGCAAAACUAGUAAAAAAGAGGAGGUAAAAGAGUCAACUAAGAAGGAAAAGGUUCUAAAUGGUAGAAACACUGCUCCAAAAGAAGAACCAAUAAGUAAAAUAAGAUAGAAGUAAGAGGCCAAGCCUUUUGCUUCACAUCUAAGAGUUGAUGUUUCACUCUCAAAAAAAAACAACAUUGAGAGAAAGGGUAAGGUAUCAGCCUAUAAACUUUAAUCUAAUAUUGAAUCUUUAGGUGAUAUGAUGGAUAUCUUAGAAGAGAGGAUUUUGAAUGCUAAGAUUGAGUUUACCUUGAGAAAAGCUAAUGAUAUUGCCAAAAAAGAUUUUUAUGAGCUCAUCAUUGAUGUUUAUGAAGAGGAAGAGGUAAAUGACAACUUAAAUAGUCAUGGCAAGAGUAUUAGAUACUUUGAUGAUCAAGAAAGAAGAAGAGGAGAUUGGACAAGUUUUUGCCUUGAAAUGCAAUAAUAUGGAUAGUAGUAACCAAAGCAAAAGGCAUAGAAUUAUUUUUGAUUAGAUUGUAAAAAAAAAAGUUAAAAUUAUGAAAGAAGAUUUGGGUGAUGAAAUAAAAGAUGAAGUGCUACAAAUAUUUUUAUAUGAUGGAAUAGCUAACAUAAAGGUAGAAGCCAAUACUAACAAGAAUCAAGAAGGAAUUACAAUAGAGACCAAGGUAUCUCAAUGUAAGGUUAAUAAGCUAUGGAGGAAUGAUACUAAAGCUUUGAUAACUUAUACUCAUCUAUUUUGGAUAAAAACUACUAUGGAGACAUGUGUAAAGAUUAGAGACCUUGAAGAGCCAAUUCUUGCAUUUAUAGAUCAUGGCUUUGAGAUCAACACCUUAUGCAGAAAGAUUUAUGAGAAGGAUAAGUAAUCAAUUGACACCAGCCAUAGAUGGGUGUUGAGAGCUGCCAAUGAUGAAAGAAGUAGCUUUUAUAGAGCAUGUCCAAUAGUGGACAUCAAAAUUAGUGAUGUGAAAGUAAAACAAAAUUUCUUUGUAUAAAAUUAAGGUAAUUUUCCAAUCAUUUUGGAGGACUAAUAUAUCACUGCAAUAAGGAUGGAAACUAAGGUGUUGAAUAAUGGCUCAUACUAUACUAGAAUUUGUAGCCAUGAUAACAAGAGGUCAAAUCAAUUUCUUAUAGUAAGGCGAGAUCAUGAGAGGCAUAAAAUUUAACUUAAAAAAACUCCUAUAAACCAUGAACAAGAUAAUUUUUUGGAUUUCUAGAUUGCACAUGUAGAGCAUGGAGUGCCACAGGUAUAAAGAAAUCAUCUAUUAUAGUAUGCUUUAAUAUACAAAGAAGAGUUUGACAAUUGAUGGAUGUGUAAGUUUUCAAAAGGUUAAAGAUUUGCAUUCCAAGUAUAGAGGAUCAAUUAAGAAGAUAGAAGAAAAAUUAAAAAGAAUUGGUGUAAUUUUGAGUUAUGAGUCUAUUUCUAGAGUUAUUGAAGAAGAAAGAUUUUUGAAUGAUAUUCUACAAGUUUUAGAAACUUUAUAAGGUGAAGGUAUUGCAUCUAUUAAUAUGAUAGCAGAAAUUCAUUCAAGAAGACUAUAUGAAGAGAUAUUGAAGAUAGCUGCUAAUAUAAAUUUGAUUCAGAGUUAUGACUUGGAAAUUGAGGCAAUAGUGAAUACCAAGUAUAAAACUAUAGCAAAAAGGAUAAAGCUAGUAGUAAUACAACUAUGACUGCACUCUGAAGAUUACAUCAAGAAGAUUGAAAAAGAGCCUAAAGUAAAAGAGACAAGAAGGAUUGAACACAAUUUCACAAAAGAAACAUUAGCUAAGGUGAAGAUUGGAGGGAGUGAAUUCUUGAAAGAACGUAAGAAAAAAAAGUUUCAAGAAAUAAUUUUCAAGAAUAGUAAGGCUUUUAUCUUUUUACAAUAUUAGAUUAGAUGUGUUAGUCCAAAGGUUGUUGCGUCAAUGGUCAUUUUUACUAUUCCACAUGUGCAUUAGAAUUUAAAGCCAAUUCAUAUGUCAAAAGCCUUAUUAUCUAAGUUGGUGAGUCUAUUGAAGGAAAAGAUAUAAAUAAAAAUAGUUGAAUCAUCUAUGGUUCUAUAUUCUAAUGAAUGAUUCAUAAUAUUAUAGAAGUUUGGAGCUUUGAGAUUCAUUCAAGAUAUGCAGCCAACCAACAAGGUGACAAUUAAAAAUAAGAGAUUAGAACUGAUUAUAGAUGAAAUUGUUGAGGCUUUUACAAGAUAUGUCAUCUAUUCUAUUGAAGAUCUUUAUUUUGAUUAUGAUCAAUUUUAACUUAUAUCAAAAAGUAAAGAUUUGAUAACCAUAAAGAUUCCAUUGGAACUUAUAAAAAUAUUCCCUUUGCUUCAAAGUGCUAUUCACUCAAUAGCUUAUAUGCGGAAUAUCAAAUCUUAAGGAAUUUUUUGCUUAAGAAGACUAUUUUUUUGUAGAUGAUAUACUUAUUAAGAACGGCAAAGAAAAGGUUAGAGACUUGAUGUUGGAUAUUGAUGGAUGUAGAAGGUUUGUAAAAGAUAAUAUUAAAGAUGUGGAGAAGAUUUUAAAGAGGCUUGAAGAAGUGGAUUUAACCUUGCCAAUUGAGAAGUUUAAAUUUGAAGUUGAUAAGAUUGUGGUAAUUGAAUACUUGUGUAGAAGAUAUAGUAGAAAAUCUAAUCCUAACAAGGUUGAUUCUUUUACUAGGAUAAAAGCAUGUAAUAGCAUCACUAAAGUAAAGAGGUUUUUAGGAGCUUGUAUCUUCUAUCUUAUUUCGGUUUCUUACUUUUUUUACAUAAGUGAUCUAUUGUACAAUCUUUUAAAAAAAAGAACUAAGCUUAGAUGGAAGAAAAAGCAAAGAUUAGCCAUGGAUGUUCUAAAAGAGAUUUUGAAGUCGCUACUAGUCUUCAGGCAAGUUGACUGUAAUCAACGUAGAGCAAUUAUUGUUAUUGUUGAUACAAAUCCUAUUGCUAUUGGAUGGGCUAUCGGUCAAAAUUAUGCAAAAGGUAAAAAUUUUGCUAUCAAAUUUAGAGCAAGAAUUUUUACAAAUAAAUAGAGAGUAUAUCCACAAGUAAAGAUGAAAAUUUUAGGAGUACUUAUAGUGUCAAGGACAAGAACUCGAUGAAAGCUAAAGAGUAAGUGAGACUUUUCUCAAAAAGAAAUAGGACAAAAUAGAAAUAUGUAUAUUAAGAAAGAAACUGGAAUGGCUAUUGCCAAAAUACAAGAAAACUAGAGACCCUUGAAACUAGACUAGAAGCAAGAAAGGAGUUGACAAGAGUGAAGAGGGCUUCACUCUUGCCUCUAUAUAUACUAUCUAACUAGAAGCCACGUGGCGAUGUUCUAUAAGACCUCCAAUAUAUGUUGACUUUCUAGGCCACAUGCCUUUGCUUGCAAGGCAAGUUUUCUAUGGAUGGACCACGUAGUUAGCUUGUUCUUUAAGCUUCCAACAUGUGUGGCACAUGGCUAACUUGUUGACCAAGUUUCUAACCUAAAAGUCAACUAUAGACUCCUAUAAAGUCAAAGUAGCGUCUAUGAAGCUUCUAAGAAGCUUCUCUAGAAGAUAUUACACAAUUAACCUACUUUUACAUACUUUUAUCUAUUCAUAUAGGUAAUUAUAUGUAUGUCCGUGACAUUACCCCCCCUUCUAGGGACGAGUUCCACGAGGAGCGGUGAUUAUAUAUUGAGAAAAUCUAAUAUGCGGCGAAUUAUAUUUGCUACAUACUCUGAUCUUUGUUCUCUUCGAAGAUAGUUGAUGGGUCCUCUUAGCCAUCGAUAGUGUCCCAUUCCAGGGCGAGAAGACCACCCUGUUAUUUGAUCACUGUUGAGGCCUUCAUAACUUCCUUCAAAUAAUGCAUUUGAAACACCAUCAGGAGUCGUUCCUAUCUCCAAUAAUAUCACCAAACAUCGAGAAUCUCUUCCAAGGUCGUGAUACCAAACGCGUUGUAUCUCACCAUCUAUUCGAGGAAGAACAUGUCGUUCUUGAGGGUCUUCAUUUCGGUUGCGUCGUCUUGAAGGUUGUGACAAUCGCAAUGUCUCAUCCGGUAAGUCAGCAAACGAAGGUUCUUGAGUUGAAUCCGCUGAUUAUUGGCUCUCCAUCUAAUUAGCGUCACAAAAUGCAAAGAAGUUACAAACAAGGAUAGAAAAUUGAAUGUUAUCUUGCCUCAAUCUUGUCUCUUUUAUAAGAGAGGUUUUCAUCUUGGUUUUGAUGGAUGUCGUUGAUGAAAAACUUUGACUUUAGCUGAUGCAUUUGCUAGAUUCCUGGAUGGCUCCCAUGUGCGCUCACUAAUAUCAUAUCCGCACCAAUGAACAAGAUAUUUCAGCUUAUUUCGGCGCCGCCUUGAGUCUAAUAUCUCUUCCACCUCAAAUUCUUCAUUAUUAUCUACUUCUAUAGGAGGCGGUGGCAUUUGUCUUCUUCCUUGUAUAUCCACUGUCUUAUAUGGUUCAAGAAGAGACACGUGGAAUACAGGAUGGAUCUUCAUUGACUCCGGUAGAUGUAACCGAUAUGCAACUGGGUUGAUCUGUUCAGAAACAGAAAAGGGGCCAAGCCUACGAUAGUCCAAUUUGUCACAAGGUCGAGUGGUCUUGAUAUUGCGACGAAGUAGCCAUACCUUAUCACCCACGUUGAGUUGUGGUUGCUCUUUACGAUAUACAUCUGCAUUUAUCUUUUGUCGUUCUUGAGCUUUCUUCAACUGCGCCCUCAUUAUUGCAUGUAACUCUGACAACCGAUUUGCCAUAUCUUCUGCUGUAGGAUUAUCAACUUUUGAAAAAUCAAAAGUAUCAAGUCGUGGAUGAUAGCCAUAAUUGGCAAAGAAAGGUGUUUGUUGCGUGGAGGAAUGUACCGUAUUAUUAUAAGCAAACUCUGCCAAUGGCAGAAGGUUUGUCCAAUCAUUUUGUUGGUAGUUGAUGGUACACCUUAAAUACUGUUCCAAGACUUGGUUUACGCGCUCUGUUUGUCCAUCAGUUUGAGGAUGGAAAGCUGAAGAUAGCUUUAUGUCCACUUUUAAAAUCUUGAAAAGAGUCCUCCAGAAUCUCGACACAAAUUGAGUUCCCCUAUCCGAUAUGAUAUCUUUAGGUAAUCCAUGAUAGCGAUAGAUAUUAUCAAUGAAAAGCUUAGCUGUUUCUUCACCUGUGAUAGAUUUUGUACAUGGCAUAAAAUGUGCCAUCUUGGUGAAACGAUCUACUAUCACAAAUAUAGAAUCAUAAGAUCUUGAGUUUGGAAGAUCUGUGAUGAAAUCCAUAGAAACAGAAGACCAUGGUUGUUCUGGUAUAGGUAAUGGCUGAAGAAGUCCGUAAGGUCGAUGUCGAGGAAUUUUUGAUCUUGAACAAAUAUCACAUGAUUGUACAAAGUCUUUGACUGACUUCCACAUUUGUGGCCACCAAAAAUCUCUUGAUAUGAGUUUCAGAGUCUUAUUAUAUCCAAAGUGCCCUGCUGCUGGAAAGUCAUGACGUGCUUGAAGAACACGCAAACGUGCUUUUCCUUCUGGAACAUAUAGGCGUCCUUCAAAAUAUAAUAGAUUAUUCUUGAACUCGAACUUAGAAGAAUCAUGAGACUUGGAAGAAUUAUUCUUGAUAUCAUGAACAAGAGGGUCUGAGGACAUACUGGACUGGAUUUGCUUGAGAAAAGUUGAAUCAACAGUCAAUGUUGAUUUCACUGCUCGGAGAUGAAAUUGCUCCGGUUUCAAGAGGACCGUUCUUUGUUGCUCAAAAGCUGCAUCUCCUUCUUUUGGUGCAAAAUAAGAACGUCUAGACAGGGCAUCGGACAAACCUUGUUGUUUUCCUGGCCGAUAAGUGAUAAUGAAGUCGAAUCUUGACAAAGACAUACUCCAACGAGCUUGACGACGAUUCAACACGCGUGCUGACAUGAAAUACUCGAGGUUCUUGUGAUCUGUAUACACAGUGACUGGACUAGAAGCACCUUCUAGAUAAUGACGCCAUUCUUGAAAAGAAUCCACGAUUGCAAGAAGUUCUUUAUCGUGGAUCUCAUAAUUGAUCUCGGCUGCUGAGAAUUUUCUUGAAUGAAAAGCUAUCGGAUGAAGUUUGUCAUCUGUUCCCAUUUGUGAUAAAACUGCACCCAAGGCAAAAUCCGAUGCGUCUGUUUCUAUAAAAAAUGCCUUGGAAAAGUCAACACGAUAUAAGACUGGUGCAGAGACAAACGAUGUCUUCAAGGCUUCAAAUGCUGCUUCCGCUUCUUGAUUCCAUUGGAAUUUAUCUUUACUAGUCAAGCGUGUAAGUGGAGCUGCAACUCGUGAGAAGUCUUUGAUGAAGAUCCGAUAGUAAUUGGCAAAUCCCAAGAAACAUUGGACAUCUCUCACAGUCUUUGGAAUCUUCCAAUCCAUGAUUGUUUGGACUUUCUUAGAAUCCAUCAUAAGACCAUCAUUUGAAAUGAUGUAUGCUAAAAAGUCAACUUGAGUAGUGUGAAAUACACACUUUUCCAUCUUGGCGUACAAUCCUGCAUCUCUGAGUUUUUGUAAUACUUGACGAACAUGUAUUUCAUGUUCUUCAACAUUCUUAGAAUAAAUCAGGAUAUCGUCUAGGUAGCAGACGACAAAAUUGUCUAAGAAUUCACGAAAUACAUCAUUCAUGAGAUGUUGAAAAGCAGCUGGUGCAUUCGUGAGUCCAAAAGGCAUGACAUUAUAUUCAACAUGCCCGUACCUGGUUCGAAACGCAGUCUUCCAUUCAUCUCCUUCUUUGAUCCGUACUAGAUUAUAUGCUCCUCUUAGAUCUAUUUUUGUAUAGAUCUUAGCUUGAUUUAACUGGUCAAGGAGUCCUGAUAUCAAAGGUAAUGGAUACAUGUUCUUGAUUGUGAUCUUGUUGAGUCCUCGAUAGUCAACACACAUUCGUAAAGAUCCAUCUUUUUUCUUUACGAAUAAAAUUGGAGCUCCUGCUGGAGAUUUUGAAUGGCGUAUGAAAUUCUUCGCUAAAUUCUCGUCAAUAUAUGUCUUGAGUUCAGCCAACUCAUCUUACGAUAAACUGUAAAUUGGUCCAAAUGGUGGCUGAGUUCCUUCCUUGAGAUCGAUUGAACAAUCGUAUGGGCGAUGCUCAGGAAGAAUAUCUGCAUUCUUUUUCUCAAAAACGUCUUGAUAAUCCUGAUAUUGACUUGGAAUGCCACUUGAAGUCUUUACGCUUUCAGAAAUAGGUGCAGCAUAAAUAGCAAAAGUUGAUCCUUCUUUUGCUGCGUGUAUAAAUGCUUUUGCACCUAUAAGUGUGAGUUUUACUAUACUAGACUCAUGGUUUUUUACUUGGUUAAUAGAACUGUUACUAAUGCUCUGAGGAAAAUCAAGUUUACGAGAAAUCCAAUCUAUUCGAGGAUUAUACUUUUCUAACCAUGAUAAGCCUAAAAUUACUGGAUUAGAGGGAGAUCUAAUUAUAUUAAAAAUUACGCAACUACUAUGACCAUUUAUUACUACAUCUACAGGAAGUGUUUCGUGAGUUACAUCUCCAGAAGACAACAGACGACCAUCUAUGACUUCUACGUGUACAGGUUUAGUUUUUUGUAUUAAUGAUAUUCUAUGACAUCUAGCAAAUUCUUCAUCUAAAAAACAAGAUGAGGCUCCUGAAUCUACCAAGGCAGAGGCUUUGUAAUUAUUAGGUCCUAAACGCACAUCUAUUAUAAAACAAGGAGAUGGUUUUGAGGAGAGGAUAGGACCUUUAUUAGAAGUUGUACAAGAUUCCAGCCGCACGGUCCCUAUUGUAGCUGGACGUACUCGUUUUCCGACAUACUGUCUUCUUUGACAGCCGUACUCCUCAUUUUGUAGUUGCGUCGCUUCUUUGGACAAUGUUGAGCAGUGUGCUUAGGUUCUCCACAAUAUAAGCACAAUCCUUCUUGUCGACGACGAGACUUUUCUUGCUCAGUAAGAGGUUUGAAACGUACCGCAUCAAUUUGCAUAUCCUCUACUUCCGAAGGUAUGUGUUGAGGAGACGUCGGUGUUGCCAUUGAAUUGUAGUAACGUUGAGGCCCACUUGUGCGACUCUCGGAUCGAAAUUCAAAAAGUCGACUGUCGCACUUCACAGCAAAGUCAAUUGCUUGACUCAAUGUUUGAGGAUCAGGUAAAUUAAGCAUCAAUUUCUUUACCUCAUAUUGUAAUCCGUAGAAAAAUUGACUCACAAGUGCGGCAUCAUCCCACUUGAUAUCAAUUACAAGUUGUCGAAAUUGCGAAGCAUAUAAUGUUACUGAUCGAUUGCCUUGUCGCAAAAUACGGAUCUUGUUGGUUGCAACACGAAUUGCAUCAUGUUCUCCAAACAUGGAUCGAAACUCCGCCAAAAAAGCCUCCAGAUUAUCCAAUAUUGGAUCUCGUCGUUCAAGAAAAGAUGAAAACCAUGACAAUACUGAACCUGAAAGAAGUGUACCAAUGAAUCUUACUUGUGACCCUGGAGUUGGAUAGCUCUGGGGUUGAAGUUCAAUCACUAGUUGGACCUGAUUGAUGAAUCCUCGAAACUUGGAUCUGGUACCAUCAAACUUCUCGGGCAAGGCAACUCUCGGUUCUCUAACACUCGAAGGGUGUUCCAUUCUGGGAGAAGGGACAUGGUUUGGUACAGAUGUUGAAGCAGCCCCAAUCAUCUCUAUAUCUUCACUUCCUACCAUUCUUGUUGCUCCUUGUGGUGGUAAAUUGAGUUGAUGCAUCGCAAGCAUUAACUCCCUCAAUUGUUCUUGCAUCUGUGCCAUUGCACUCUUCAUUUCAACAAGCUCUGCCAUAGUAGCACUUAGAAAAGAGAAGAUGUCUAACAACGCUCAAAACAAAUAGAAGAGAGGAAUUGAUAACAAAGAAAAUACUAAGAAUAAUAUCAGUUUAAAAGAGGGUAAUCCGCAACUUCUAAUGCGCUUAUGUCUUAUCAAGAAAAAGGGGUAAUCCACUCUUAAUCAAGAAAAGACAAAGCUCUGAUAUUGUAAGUGUACUCUUGUCAAUCUGUCAAGGACAAGAACUCGAUGAAAGCUAAAGAGUAAGUGAGACUUUUCUCAAAAAGAAAUAGGACAAAAUAGAAAUAUGUAUAUUAAGAAAGAAACUGGAAUGGCUAUUGCCAAAAUACAAGAAAACUAGAGACCCUUGAAACUAGACUAGAAGCAAGAAAGGAGUUGACAAGAGUGAAGAGGGCUUCACUCUUGCCUCUAUAUAUACUAUCUAACUAGAAGCCACGUGGCGAUGUUCUAUAAGACCUCCAAUAUAUGUUGACUUUCUAGGCCACAUGCCUUUGCUUGCAAGGCAAGUUUUCUAUGGAUGGACCACGUAGUUAGCUUGUUCUUUAAGCUUCCAACAUGUGUGGCACAUGGCUAACUUGUUGACCAAGUUUCUAACCUAAAAGUCAACUAUAGACUCCUAUAAAGUCAAAGUAGCGUCUAUGAAGCUUCUAAGAAGCUUCUCUAGAAGAUAUUACACAAUUAACCUACUUUUACAUACUUUUAUCUAUUCAUAUAGGUAAUUAUAUGUAUGUCCGUGACAUAUAGUUAUAAAAGUAGACAAAAAUUACUUAAUUAGAUCCAAUGUGGUACUAGAGACUAAUUUCUUAUUAUUAUUGGAUAUGAUUGCCAACUGUUCUAUUCUUAAUAUUGCCGUGCUGAUAUAGAUAGCCUAUAUUAAAUCACUCAAUCCUAUGUUAGUACACAUUUCUGAUAAGAAAAAUUCUAUAAUAAAUGUAUAUUAAGGACAUGAAUUAAAAGAAGAUGUAAAAAUUUGAGAAAUUUGUAUCAAAAGAAAAGUAACAAAAUAGAAAUAAAAUAAUUUCUAUAUUAAAAAGAAAUUAAAAUAGCUAUUGCCAAAAGACAAAGAAAUUAAAGGCUCUUGAAUCUAGAUUAGAAGUAAGAAAGGAAUUGAGAAGAGUGAAGAAGGCUUCACUCUUGCCUCUAUAUAUACUAUCUAACUAAGAGCUACAUGGUGAUGUUCUAUAGGACUUUUAAUAUGUGUUGACUUUGCAUAAUACAUGCUUUAGCUUACAAGGCAAGUUUUCUAUAUGUACGCUAUCGUAAUACGUGAAGUCUUGCUUGAGAAUGCUCUGGGCACUUGGCUGUGGAAGGUAGAAUGGAAAUUGCAACAACAAAAUCCUAAUUCUAAUAGAAUACUAACAAUGCUCUAAUUAGACCAUAAUAAUGCUAAGCAAGUUUUAAUCAAAUUCAAAGAAACUUCAAAUAAAUUUCAAAGAAAUAAUAAAAAACCUUAAAAAAAUAUUAGAAUGAUCACAAAUAUAUCUCAAAUACAUCUUAAUUCAAUCUUAAUUUAAUCUUAGUUAAAAUUAUAUUGGACUUCAUUCAAACUUUAGGCCAAACCUAAUUAAAUCUUAAACCCUAAACAAAUCCUAAUAAAAUCCUAAAUCCUAAAUCAAAUCCUAAAUCCUAAUCAAAUCCAAAAUCUUAAAUCAAACCUUAAUCAAAUCCUAAACCAAACCCUAAGCCCUAAACCAAAUCCUAACUAAACUCUAAAUCCUAAAUGAAAUCCUAACCAAACUCUAAAUCCUAAACCAAAUCCUAAACCAAAUCCUAAAUCCUAAAUCAAAUCCUAAAUCAAACCCUAAAUCAAAUCCUAAAUCCUAAAUCAAAUCCUAACCAAACUCUAAAUCUAAACCAAACUCUAAUCAAACCUUGAAUCCUAAACCAAAUUCCAACCAAACCUUAAACCAAAUCCUAAACCCUAAACAAAUCUUAAACCAAAUCCUAAAUCCUAAAUCAAAUCCUAACCAAAUUCUAACCCUAAAUAAAAUCCUAACCAAACUCUAAACCCUAAACCAAAUCCUAACCAAAUUCUAAAUCCUAAACUAAAUCCUAAUCAAAUCCUAGUAAUUUCUACAACAGAUUUAAACCUCAAUAACUAAUGAAUGAACCAUCAAUCUUAAUUCAAAUUUUACACACUUCUUAAAAACUAAGUUAAAAACAAUUAAAUUUUUUUUGAAAAGGAUUGGAAUUACCAAAUAGACGAUAAUCUCAAAAAUGUGCUUGGAUAUUGGUUAGCCUCCUUUUCCAACCUUCAUGCCAAUCUCUGAAAGCCAAUAUCUCUUGUUUUCAUCAUUCGAUUGAUUUCAAAAUUCUCAUACAUAUAGAAAAACAAGUCUAGUAUCCUUUUACAUAAAUUUCAUUCUAAUAAUACUAGUAGAUUGCAAGAAAUCUUAAAAACCCUUACUAGACCUAAAAUUAUACUUUCUGAAACCUUGACUCACUUAAACCUCAAUAAUCCUCAAUUCAACCGUAAGAUUGAGCUCAAAUUUACAACACAUAUUGAACACAAUUAUAACCAUUAAUCCACAAAAUUUCAUCCAUAGAUCUAUUAUAAAACUUUUGAAAUCACCCAAAAAAUAAAUCCUAUUUUAUUUCACAAAAUCCAAGUCAUCCAAAACAAACCUUGACUUUGCAAAACUCUUACAAAGUCAAUACAGAUUCAAAUCAUCCAAAACUAAUGCUCAUAGAAAUCUUAUCUAAUCUUCUAUCAAACUCCACUCUCGAAUCUGCCAAAGAGUCCCAAAGUGGUUGUCGAGACUUGAUUUUGUGCCUAAGGAUCUGAUUUCGAUCCUAGAUCAUGACCGGCCCUCUCUGGGUAUCAACAUCUAGUUUUUCUAAGUAAUUUUUACUAGAAUUUACUCUUAACUUCCUCCUAAAGAUUUCUAUAUCAUUUAUUUUUCCAAUCUACCUUAUUUUGCGUUAUUUUUGGCCCUACAAAGUAAGUAGAAGCUAUUUUUUUCUAAAAGGGCAGCAUUACUACUAAAAGUUUUACUACCUUCCUAUCUUUUAUCCAUAUUUUUCUACUUUAUCUUUUAACUUGGCUCUUCUAUAAUAAGAUCCAUAUUAUCAUCUUUUAGAAUAUAGUCGUGUUAUAAUUUGAUAGUGCUACAUAGUUAGUUUAUUUUUCAAGCUAUCAACAUGUAUCAUACAUUGCUAACUUGUUGACCAUGUUUCUAAUCUAAAAAGUCAAUUAUAGAUACCUAUAAAGUCAAAGCACCAUCUAUGAAGCUUCUAAGAAGCUUUUAUAGAAGAAAUUAUGAAAUUAACAUACUUUUACAUACUUUUAUCUACUUCUAUCUAAUCAUAUAGAUAAUUUUUAGUUUAUAUGUAUAUAUCUGUGACAAUAUGCUAUCUAGAGUUAGAUAUAUUUAUAUAAAAGAGAUAAAAAUAUAAGAAAUUACUAAAGAUGAUGAAGAUGAGGACUAUGGCUAUAUGCUAAUAAUUAAUGGAAUAAGCACAAGUGAUAAAGAUGUGGCUUUUAGAGAAGAUCUUUAUGGAGGUAAGUUAAGAGACAUUAGUAUUUAUUUGAGUACCAUGAGGAAAUAAGAAGGCUAAUCAAACAAUGCCUUCAAAGACAUUAGAUAUUAAUCUUAUAACUAUAUUUUGAGAGAUAGUUUUUUAUAGAAGAGGCCAAAGAAGAUGGAUGGAAUACCAUUGAAAGUGGUAGAUGAUGCAAAAAAUAAGAAUCAAGUUCUCAAGGAGUUUCAUGAUAUACUUUAAGUAGGCCACAUAGGAAUUUGGGCAACCUAUUAUAAGAUCAAAGAACAAUAUUAGUAGAAGAGCUUCUACAAAGAUGUAGAAAAAUUUGUGGCUUCUGACAUUAAAUCCCAAUUGAGUCCAAAGUUAGAUUCAAAAAUAAAUUACAUCCUACUUAUCCACUUGCUAUGUAUUUUCAAUACAUGAUUGACGUGGUAACUAUGCCAUUAGGAUUAUGGAACAUGAAAUCACUUGUUUUGCAAGAAAAGACCUUUGAAAUUAUAUUGAAGAGAGAGCUUUGAGGACCAAAAUCAUUAAAAAAAUGUAUAUAUUUAUCUUGGAGGAUAUCUUUAGUAGAUAUAGCAGUAUUGGAAGAAUGAAGGUUAAUUGAGGAGAAUUGAAUACAACAAAGGCCAAAGAUUUUUUUUCAAAGAUAUGGUGUAAAAUUGAAGCUAAUAAUUACUUAUAAUUUUGAAGGUAAUAGGAAGAGUAUGAGAAGAUAUCUUUUCAUCAUUAAUGUUCUUAUCAAGAAUUAGAGAGGUAAGCCAAAGAAAUGACCAAGAUUUCUACCAUUUGCUUUAUGGAUAAAUAGAACCACCCAUUGUACUAAUACUACUUAUAUGCCUAUUGAAUUAAUAUUGGACUAAAAGCUAAUUAUGCCUGUAGAAGAUUUUGUGCAUACUUGAAUAUUAUUGAAUUGCAAGGAUAGUAUCAUAAGAGAGAGAUUAUUCGAGCUCCAAAUUUAGUAGCUUCAAAGAUUACUUGAAGUUUAAUAGAUGGCAUUAGAGAAAUUAAAGGCUAUUAGGUUGAGUAAUAAAGAGAGUUUUGACUAAAUCCAUUGUUUGAGGUCCAAAUCAAAUGAAGUUAGGAAUUGGUUGUAAGUGUUUGAUAGUAGUUUGGAAUAUCAACAUAGCACUCUUAAGAAGUUUAUUCAAAGAUGAUUUAGACCAAAUAUAAUAGUAAUAGUGUAUAACAAUGCUACUUAUUUGCUUUGUAAAUUGCAUGAUGCGAUGUUGCAGAUAUAUGUGGCUAAAAAGUAAAUCAAUGCAUUUAAGAGAAGAGAUAGGAGAUUUAUUCUAAGUAAUUAUUCAAAUUUUAAAACAAUAAAUUUGGAUCAAAUGAAACAUGCAAAAAUAGAUAGAGAUGAUGAAGAAGUCAAGCAUGGUGAGAUUGAUACAUAUCAAAAGAUGUGUAUAUUUGAAGAAGAUGGAUGUCGUAUUAUAAUUAUUUAUAGUAUAUAAAAAUUAACUAAAAUAGAUAAUAUAUUUAUAAGUAUUGAUAUACUUUAGAAUUUUUAGUAGGAUAAUUUUAAAAAAAUUGAUGUUAUAAAAUUUAUUUUGAGGUUUAUUUAUGUUGAUUAUAAUAUUUAAGCUAUAUAGGAUUUAGAUAUUUACUAUAAAAUUUGAUGUUUUUUUUUUUUUUUUUUUUUUUUUUUUUUUUUUUUUAUCUUGAAGCUUGGAUGAGUAAUUAGUAAUAGCUAGAAGCUGAGUGCUUUCUUAAGACAAAUUCUUUCUAUCUCCACACCGUAUAGUUAGAAUCUCAUAUAAUAUCUAAUAAAAGUUCUUUUCUUUUCUUAGAUUUCUUAUCUUAUUUUAUAAUAGAAGUUUAUUUAUGACCAAAAAAUCACAAAAUCUUAGCUUUGUUAGAUUUAGAAGCCUUUGCCUAUUUUAUUAACAAAAAAUUUAUCAAAAAAACUAAACUUAUACAUGUAGAAGUCAUUGAAAGUAGUUCACUAUCUUUAUGAAAUAUUAUGCAUGAGACUAUUCUUUUAGAUGUAACAAUUAAAGAUCAUAAUAUCAUUGAAAUAUAUAAUGUUAUAAAAUUUUAUCCAAUCUGAUUAUUUUAAGAUUAUCUUGGUUAAAAACAUAUAAUCCUUAGAUAGAUUGGAGUUUUUGUAACCUUUGUUUUUUUAAUAGUUUAACUCAAAAUCUUGUUAGUCAAGUAGAAAUAUAUAAGUCUAGUACAUCGAAACUCUUACUAAUAGCUACAAGAGCUUUUAUGCAUGCAACAAAAGAAGGAUUAACUUUUGUUCUAUACAUCAUAUCUAUUUCUAAUGGUGAAAAGAUGUCAAGUGAUAUUCUUAGCCAAUAUUAAGAUUUCUAAGACAUUUUUGAAAAGAAGAAUGCAAAAAUUCUUUCAAAUCAUCAUUUUUAUGAUUAUUCCAUCAAUCUUUACAAAAGAGCUCAACCACUAUUUGGACCAAACUAUAGCCUAUCACAAAAUGAAUUGGUUGUAUUUAAAGAUAACAUUGAUGAGAACUUUACUUAGAAUUUUAUAUGUCAUUCUAAAACUCUAGUCAAGGCUCCUAUCAUAUUUGUGAUGAAAAAAGAUGGAUCUCUAGGAAUGUGUAUAAAAUAUUGAGGAUUCAAUAAGACCACCAUCAAGAAUAGAUAUCUUCUACCUUUAAUUUUAGGACUUCUUCAUCAAUGGAAUCAAGCAAAGAUUCAUACAAAGAUAGAUCUACAAAGAGCAUAUAAUCUAAUAAAUAUUAAAAAAAUAAAUGAAUAAAAAAUUGCAUUUCAAACCAAGUGUGGAUAUUUUUAAUAUAAUGUCAUGCCUUUUGGAUUCACAAAUACACUCGCUAUUGUAUUGCAUGGCAUUUGGCUUAAAAAUGCACCAGACACCUGACUGUGGAAGAUAAAAUAAAAAUUAUAAUAACAAGUCCUAACAACUCUAAUAGAUUUUUAAACAUAAUCAAACAUCAAUCAAAUUCAAUCAAAAUUUCAAAGAAAUUAUAUAAAAAAUAAAAAGUAUUUUUGGAGAUCCUUUAAAGAAUCAUAAAGAAAUAACAUAGAAAUUCAAAAAUAUACUAAAAUAAAGACUUUAAUAAAAUAUUAAAAUAGAAAUCUUAAUUAAAUUCUAACCAAAUUCUAAUCAAAUCUUAAUAAAUUCUAACCAAAUCUCAAAUAAAUCUUAACCAAAUCCUAAAUAAAUCCUAACCAAAUUCUAAACAAAUUCUAAGAAAAUCCUAAACAAAUCCUAACAAAUCCUAGCCAAAUUCUAAUCAAAUCCUAAAUAAAUCUUAACCAAAUCCUAAUUAAAUUCUAAACAAACCUUAAUCAAGUCCUAAUUAAAUCUUAAACAAAUCUUAAAAAAAUUCUAAAUAAAUCUUUACCAAAUUUUAAACAAAUCUUAAAUAAAUUCUAAUCAAAUCCUAAAUAAAUCCUAGUCAAAUCCUAAUCAAAUCUUAACUAAAUCUUAAACAAAUCUUAAAUAAAUCUUAACAAAAUCCUAGUCAAAUCCUAACAAAUUCUAACCAAAUUCUAAUCAAAUCCUAAAAAAACCUUAAUCAAAUCCUAGUCAAGCUCUAAACAAAUCCUAACCAAAUCCUAACUAAAUCCUAAACAAUUCUAAGUAAAACCUCAACCAAAUCCUAACCAAAUCCUAACCAAAUUCUAAACAACACUUAAUAAAAUCUCAACCAAAGCCUAAUCAAAUCCUAAUGAAACCUUAAUCAAAUCCUAAUCGAUUUC